CGUGUUGAGCGAGGACCGAGGCGGUGGUGGGGCAGGGGUGUAGAGCUGGGGUUCCCAACGGAGAGCAUGUCCAAGGAACGGCUGCCGGCGAGGUGAUGCUUCUGCCUGGGCCUACUUGGGACCGGAAGUGAGCGCUCGCGCGGGGAGGAUGCCGGGAGGCAGGUCCCAGGGGAUAUGUGUGUGUCGCUGAAGACCCAUCCCGGAAGCCGGCCGGGAGACUAUCAAGAUCUCCACUUAGGGAAGUGGGAAUCUUAUUUGCGGAACAUUGGGCAGAAGCUUUGCCAUUGGCUGGUGAAGAAGGAGGAGGCAGAAUGUCUGCAUUGUUACACCAUACAGCUCAAACUUCAGAAGACUUUGGGUUAAGCAGUUAUCAUUAGUCUGCAAUGAUCAUGUUUUCACCUGAUCAUUAGAAACUAAUGAAACACCUUUUAGGUCUUAUGAAUUCAGGUUACACUGUUUUCCAGAUGCCUUGGCAGCUGGUACAGGUUUAAAUUUAUGUUGUUUUGUGGUACAGUUUAAAAAUAGUGGAUAGCA
RNAcentral lists this small RNA (534 nucleotides) under Pongo abelii (Sumatran orangutan). Its description in RNAcentral is "processed transcript". Lineage: Eukaryota; Metazoa; Chordata; Mammalia; Primates; Hominidae. The record is from RNAcentral.